GAGAGGGAAAUUGCGCGGCGCGGCAACAAGAUUUAAAACACCGAAACACGUCCGACGGUAGACCGAAUACUGUGCCGCUACGGUCGACCGUUCGGGUACGAGACGAACUCCGAUCGCGACGAAACUUGACAGGCGGCCUACCCAUAUAUAAAUAAUACCGCACGACAAAUUCCAGCUCAAUCGGAGAAAGUUUUAUACACGCUUUAAAAACAGGGUUACGACGGUGCCGCGGACGCGUGCGUGUGCGGUCGGGCUCAGAACGGACAA
Molecule: long non-coding RNA, 267 nt
Filed under: Hordeum vulgare
Lineage: Eukaryota; Viridiplantae; Streptophyta; Magnoliopsida; Poales; Poaceae
Description: long non-coding RNA (HVUL_LNC010669)
Source: RNAcentral